Molecule: unclassified non-coding RNA, 327 nt
Filed under: Hevea brasiliensis (rubber tree)
Lineage: Eukaryota; Viridiplantae; Streptophyta; Magnoliopsida; Malpighiales; Euphorbiaceae
Source: RNAcentral
UGCUGCUUAUCUAGCCAACAAGAACCACAAUCAGGCCUCUGAACCACCUCGUUUUUAAUAAUUCAAGCAUUAAUCCUGCAACGGCUACUGCUUAUCUAGUGAACAAGAACUUCAAUCAGGCCUCUCAACCACCUGAUUUUAGUACUUCAUUCAUCAAUACUGGAUUUGGGGUGCUUUCUGGCAAUUCGAUGGGCAUUGCAAACAAUCCUCAGAUCAACUACACGAAUAUGGAUCAUCAAUCUCAAGGUCCUGUGAGAUUACAUGACCCCGGAGUUUUAAUAGGUCUCAUUAUCUAAGCAAUGUGGAGGCAAGAUCAGUGCAGAUGGA